GCGCACUGCAACUAUGAGUUUUUUUUGUCCAGAUUUGAUUGUCCGUUUUAUUUGAAAUUUUUUUAUGAUUAGUAUUGUGUUGUUAUUAGAUGAUAAAUAAGACGAACAAUUUAAGUUAGACAUUAAAACUAAUGAUGUCAAUUAAA
RNAcentral lists this microRNA precursor (146 nucleotides) under Oryza barthii. Its description in RNAcentral is "MIR812 microRNA precursor family". It matches the Rfam family "MIR812 microRNA precursor family". The record is from Rfam by way of RNAcentral. Lineage: Eukaryota; Viridiplantae; Streptophyta; Magnoliopsida; Poales; Poaceae.